Non-coding RNA from Prunus avium (sweet cherry), 286 nucleotides. NCBI's taxonomy places the organism in Eukaryota, Viridiplantae, Streptophyta, Magnoliopsida, Rosales, Rosaceae. The record is from RefSeq and is a predicted model, not a curated record.
GCGAUUUCCGACGGCGUCUGCGGCGGCGUACGGUGGAGGUGAUCGACACUACCAACCCAGAUAGGAAGCCUGCUAUCUUGUGAACAUAACCCAAGAAGAAUCGGAGCCAUCGGAGGUGCGGUGAAGGCACGGUGGCGCCGUGAAGUUGGUUCGUCAACAGUGAAAUCAGCAACUUCAACCGGCAGUUUGAGCGACUUACACUUCGAAUUGGACCUCGAGGUACUGUUGGAGUUUGAGUUGCUCGUUGAGGUUUGAGAUUGAGGUUUCGUUAAGUUGUUGAAGACGU